CUGGGCCGAGGCCACGGUCGGGUCCCCCCCUGGUGGUCCGGGACACCCCAACUUUCAGCCCCUUCGAGAUCCGGGUCCAGGCGCUCAACGAGGCCGGGAAGGGCCCCGAGCCCCCCGUGGUCAUCGGCUACUCCGGGGAGGACCUGCCGCUGGUGUACCCCGAAAAUGUGGGGGUGGAGAUCCUGAACAGCAGCAGCGUCCGCGUCUCCUGGAGCCUGAGCGGGGCCGAGCGGGACCUGCGGGGCCGCCUGCGGGGCUACCGGAUUCUGUACUGC
Non-coding RNA from Taeniopygia guttata (zebra finch), 275 nucleotides. The record is from RefSeq and is a predicted model, not a curated record. Lineage: Eukaryota; Metazoa; Chordata; Aves; Passeriformes; Estrildidae.